AUACGUAGGGGGCGAGCGUUGUCCGGAAUGAUUGGGCGUAAAGGGCGCGUAGGCGGCGCGGUAAGUCUGGAGUGAAAGUCCUGCUUUCAAGGUGGGAAUUGCUUUGGAUACUGCCGCGCUUGAGUGCAGGAGAGGUUAUCGGAAUUCCCGGUGUAGCGGUGAAAUGCGUAGAGAUCGGAAGGAACACCAGUGGCGAAGGCGGGUAACUGGACUGCAACUGACGCUGAGGCGCGAGAGUGUGGGGAGCAAACAGGAUUAGAUACCCUGGUAGUCCACGCCGGAAACGAUGAAUACUAGGUGUCGGGUUUCUAUAGAGAUUCGGUGCCGCAGCAAACGCAAUAAGUAUUCCACCUGGGGAGUACGGCCGCAAGGUUGAAACUCAAAGGAAUUGACGGGG
Molecule: ribosomal RNA, 397 nt
Filed under: uncultured bacterium
Lineage: Bacteria
Description: partial 16S ribosomal RNA
Rfam family: Bacterial small subunit ribosomal RNA
Source: RNAcentral